CCCUUAGAUGUCCGGGGCCGCACGCGCGCUACACUGAAGGAAUCAGCGUGGCUUUCUCCCUGACCCGAAAGGGUUGGGAAACCCGUUGAAUCUCCUUCGUGAUAGGGAUUGGGGCUUGAAAUUGUUCCCCAUGAACGAGGAGUUCCCAGUAAGCGCGAGUCAUAAGCUCGCGUUGAUUGCGUCCCUGCCCUUUGUACACACCGCCCGUCGCUACUACCGAUUGAACGGUUUAGUGAGGGCCUCGGAUUGGUCUCGGCCCGCUCUUUACCGGGCGGCGCCGUUGGUCGAGAAGACGCUCGAACUUGAUCGUUUAGAGGAAGUAAAAGUCGUAACA
This 334-nucleotide ribosomal RNA is filed under the name uncultured eukaryote. RNAcentral's name for it is "partial 18S ribosomal RNA". It matches the Rfam family "Eukaryotic small subunit ribosomal RNA", at positions 1470 to 1796 of the family's 1831-position model. The record is from RNAcentral.